CCUACGGGGGGCAGCAGUGGGGAAUAUUGCGCAAUGGGGGAAACCCUGACGCAGCAACGCCGCGUGAGCGAAGAAGGCCUUCGGGUCGUAAAGCUCUGUCUGGAGGGAUGAAAAACAUGACAGUACCUCCGGAGGAAGCCCCGGCUAACUACGUGCCAGCAGCCGCGGUAAUACGUAGGGGGCAAGCGUUGUCCGGAAUUACUGGGCGUAAAGGGCGCGUAGGCGGUAGAUUAAGUCAGAUGUGAAAGUCCAGGGCUCAACCGUGGAAUUGCAUUUGAAACUGAUUUACUUGAGCGCAGGAGAGGAGAGCGGAAUUCCUAGUGUAGCGGUGAAAUGCGUAGAGAUUAGGAAGAACACCAGUGGCGAAGGCGGCUCUCUGGACUGUAACUGACGCUGAGGCGCGAAAGCGUGGGGAGCGAACAGGAUUAGAUACCCCAGUAGUC
RNAcentral lists this ribosomal RNA (443 nucleotides) under uncultured bacterium. RNAcentral's name for it is "bacterial SSU rRNA". It matches the Rfam family "Bacterial small subunit ribosomal RNA", at positions 338 to 795 of the family's 1533-position model. The record is from RNAcentral.